RNAcentral lists this ribosomal RNA (434 nucleotides) under uncultured bacterium. RNAcentral's name for it is "partial 16S ribosomal RNA". It matches the Rfam family "Bacterial small subunit ribosomal RNA", at positions 29 to 507 of the family's 1533-position model. The record is from RNAcentral.
AGCGAACGCUGGCGGCAGGCCUAACACAUGCAAGUCGAACGAACCUUUCGGGGUUAGUGGCGGACGGGUGCGUAACACGUGGGAACGUGCCUUUAGGUUCGGAAUAACUCAGGGAAACUUGUGCUAAUACCGAAUGUGCCCUUCGGGGGAAAGAUUAAUCGCCUUUAGAUCGGCCCGCGUCUGAUUAGCUAGUUGGUUGAGGUAAUGGCUCACCAAGGCGACGAUCAGUAGCUGGUCUGAGAGGAUGAUCAGCCACAUUGGGACUGAGACACGGCCCAAACUCCUACGGGAGGCAGCAGUGGGGAAUCUUGCGCAAUGGGCGAAAGCCUGACGCAGCCAUGCCGCGUGAAUGAUGAAGGUCUUAGGAUUGUAAAAUUCUUUCACCGGGGACGAUAAUGACGGUACCCGGAGAAGAAGCCCCGGCUAACUUCGUG